AGCAGGAGGUGCAAGAGGGGAAGGAGGAGGGAGGGGGAGGAAGAGGGAGAGGAGGGAAAGGAGGAGGGAGGAGGAGGGAGAGGAGGAGGAGGGUAGCAUAGCGGCCUAGGCUGUGGCCUGGAGAGGGAACUGGAAGAGCUCUGUGAGGGACUCAUCCAUGGGGAGGACCCGUUCACCCUGGAUGAAGCCCUGAGACGGCGGGCUGUGAAGUCACCAGUGGUCCCAGAAGAUGCAAGGUGACCACGCCCGCCCCUGGGCAAGAGGCACAAGGGAGGCGAGUCACCCUCUUCCAAAGCUGUCUGUUUUCUGGAUGUUUCAAUGCCCUGAUUUCCCCAUUACCUCCUCUUGCUCAGAGACGCUCUGGACAGAAGUUUUGUUUACAACCCGCUGUAGGAGUGAAGCCACAGCACUGCGCUUGUGGGUACAGAACCCAGGAUGCCCGUCCCUUUGGGCCCUGCUGAGUUCAGUCUGGUUCAUCCCAGCACCGUAGGGACAGCCCUACAUUCCUGAGGUUCUGGGCCUGCCCCUCCUUUGCUAGUUAGAAAGUCCAGUUCAACAGGUAAGGGUAAUAAUGAAGGAUUCCCUACAACACCGGCUCCCCCAGAAACAAAUCACCAGCGGUUAGUUUUCUAGAAUUAGGCAGUGGCCUUGCUGAUGCUGCCGGUUACAAGAGGACAGGACUCUCAAUGGCGCCAGGUAAGUCACACCGGCUGAUUUCUUUUCUCAUCCACACACUCGUUCCUUUCUUAGGAGGGGUCCCUAGCUGCUGCAAGGGUCAGCGUGGAGGAAGGACCGGAGUGCAGGGCACUUGUAUCUCAGGGCCUUGGGCGUUUGUUUUCAGUCACAGGGGAACGAGCAGCUUCAAGGUCACAAAGCACCAGGACGCCCGACACCCGGCACAUCCCAAGGCUUCCCCGGUAGUGCGGAGAAGAAAGUGAGUUGGAAACCAGAUGAUGCUCUGGAUACUGCAACUCAGGGGCGGACGAGAACCUGUCAAGUCCCUCCUCCGGGCUCCGCACGCACAGAGAACCGGGUCACCGCUGGCGUGCGAGCCUGAGGGCUGACCAGGACGCGCUCCCGGGCGCCCGGGGUCGCGGCCCAGUCCUGCCCCCACGUGCGGGAGCGCAGAGGCGCAGAAGGACGGAGAAGGAGGGCGGAAGAGCACACAGCGCCUUUGCAGGUACGAGUCUGCCAGGCUCUCGAGUCAACGUCUUCCUGCUGGAGAAAAUUCAGACGGAGUGAGCAAGAUAUUUAUGGAAAGUAGGGCAUUUUGGAAGCAUUUCGUAACUUCUCAGACGGGGACGACGGCACCUCCCGUGCGCGGAAGAGGCGAUGUCCCAGCCCCCUCCCCCCCCCGAGCCCCCAGACAUACGCGGGGUAGCGGGGUCACCCGGGACCGGGCGACCUUGGCGGGGCGGCGCGACCUUGAGGCCUGCGUUCGCCUCAGUUGCCCCCUCUGCGCAAUGGGGACACGCCCUGACCGCCGGGCUGCGUGGGUCCGCCCGCGCCGCAGACCCCUCUCCCCGCGCGCCCUCGGGCUCCGCCGGUCCCCCGGGCCUCCGUCCCCGCGCCCGGCCCCCGUCCCAGUCCCCAC
Leopardus geoffroyi (Geoffroy's cat) is the source of this 1594-nucleotide long non-coding RNA. RefSeq lists it as uncharacterized. NCBI's taxonomy places the organism in Eukaryota, Metazoa, Chordata, Mammalia, Carnivora, Felidae. The transcript has 3 exons. The record is from RefSeq and is a predicted model, not a curated record.